AGGAGGGUAUCCCAUUAAUAGGGAACCUUACCUUGAGGUAUGGUUAAUGUCUAUUCCACAGUUAAAUAUGGAUCCGCUUGGAGCCGGUAAGGACCGAGACGGGAAG
Peptococcaceae bacterium BRH_c4a is the source of this 106-nucleotide non-coding RNA. NCBI's taxonomy places the organism in Bacteria, Bacillati, Bacillota, Clostridia, Eubacteriales, Peptococcaceae. The record is from Rfam.